This 1368-nucleotide ribosomal RNA is filed under the name human gut metagenome. RNAcentral describes it as "bacterial LSU rRNA". It matches the Rfam family "Bacterial large subunit ribosomal RNA", at positions 1067 to 2518 of the family's 2925-position model. The record is from RNAcentral.
AAAACGAUGUGAAGAUACGUAGACAACCAGGAUGUUGGCUCAGAAGCAGCCACACAUUCAAAGAGUGCGUAAUAGCUCACUGGUCGAGCGUCUUUGCGCGGAGAAUUUAACGGGGCUAAACCUGACACCGAAGCUUAGGCAAUACAGCAAUGUAUUGGGUAGGGGAGCGUUGUAUACGCGGUGAAACAGUAGCGCAAGCGGCUGUGGAGUGUAUAGAAGUGAGAAUGCCGGAAUGAGUAGCGCGAAUGCAGUGAGAAUCUGCAUGGCCGAAAGCCUCAGGUUUCUGGAGGAAGGUUCGUCCGCUCCAGGUUAGUCGGGAGCUAAGGUGAGGCCUAACGGCGUAGCCGAUGCACAGACGGUAGAGAUUCCGUCACCACCAAAAGAGUUAAACACAGGGACACAUUUGAAGUCUCGGAGCCGGGUGUUGGUUCCGGUAGCGAUCGAGGGAAAUUAGUACCGAAGUCCGGGAUGGAAGAUGGCGAGAAAAGCUGUGUGUAUUUCUGCGGUGCCCGUACCGCAAACCGACACAGGUAGGUAGGAAGAAGAUUCUAAGGCCAACGGGAGAAGGGUUGUUAAGGAACUCGGCAAAUUGACCCCGUAACUUCGGGAGAAGGGGUGCUCCAGAGAUGGAGCCGCAGAGAAUCGGCCCAAGCAACUGUUUACCAAAAACACAGGUUUGUGCUAAAUCGAAAGAUGACGUAUACGAGCUGACGCCUGCCCGGUGCUGGAAGGUUAAGAGGAGAUGUGCAAGCAUUGAAUCGAAGCCCCAGUGAACGGCGGCCGUAACUAUAACGGUCCUAAGGUAGCGAAAUUCCUUGUCAGGUAAGUUCUGACCCGCAUGAAAGGCGUAAUGAUUUGGGCACUGUCUCAACAGCCCGCCCGGCGAAAUUGUAGUACCGGUGAAGAUGCCGGUUACCCGCGACAAGACGGAAAGACCCCAUGGAGCUUUACUGUAGCCUAAUAUUGGGUUUCGAUGUUGCAUGCACAGGAUAGAUGGGACACAGGGAAACAAUCGCUUUGGCGGUUGCGGAGUGGCCGUUGGGAUACCAUCCUUGCGAUAUUGGAAUUCUAACCUGCGGCUCUGAAUCGAGUCGGGGGACAUUGUUAGGUGGGCAGUUUGACUGGGGCGGUCGCCUCCUAAAGAGUAACGGAGGCGUUCAAAGGUUCGCUCAGCUUGAACGGAAAUCAAGCAAAAGAGUGCAAACGCAGAAGCGAGCCUAACUGCGAGACUGACGGGUCGAGCAGUAACGAAAGUUGGAGUUAGUGAUCCGGUGGUAUGUGAGUGGAAAUGCCAUCGCUCAACGGAUAAAAGUUACCCUGGGGAUAACAGGCUGAUCUCCCCCAAGAGUCCACAUCGACGGGGAGGUU